Molecule: ribosomal RNA, 253 nt
Filed under: uncultured bacterium
Lineage: Bacteria
Description: partial 16S ribosomal RNA
Rfam family: Bacterial small subunit ribosomal RNA
Source: RNAcentral
GACGAACCGUCCAAACGUUAUUCGGAAUCACUGGGCUUACAGAGUUCGUAGGCGGUCUGGAAAGUUGGGUGUGAAAUCCCUCGGCUUAACCGGGGAACUGCGUCUGAUACUGGAUGGCUUGAGUUCGGGAGAGGGAUGCGGAAUUCCAGGUGUAGCGGUGAAAUGCGUAGAUAUCUGGAGGAACACCGGUGGCGAAGGCGGCAUCCUGGACCGGCACUGACACUGAGGAGCGAAAGCCAGGGGAGCAAACGGG